GACGAACGCUGGCGGCGUGCUUAACACAUGCAAGUCGAGCGGGAACCUCUCGAGGGGUAACCCUUGAGAGGGGAGAGCGGCGAACGGGUGAGUACCACGUGGGCAACCUGCCCCGGACACCGGGAUAACCCAGGGAAACCUGGGCUAAUACCGGAUACUCCGGCGAGAUCGCAUGACCUUGCCGGGAAAGCUCCGACGGUCCGGGAUGGGCCCGCGGCCUAUCAGCUUGUUGGUGGGGUAACGGCCCACCAAGGCGACGACGGGUAGCUGGUCUGAGAGGACGGCCAGCCACACUGGGACUGAGACACGGCCCAGACUCCUACGGGAGGCAGCAGUGGGGAAUCUUGCGCCAAUGCGCGAAAGCGUGACGCAGCGACGCCGCGUGGGGGAUGAAGGCCCUCGGGUCGUAAACCCCUUUCGCCAGGGAAGAAGCGAAAGUGACGGUACCUGGAGAAGAAGUCCCGGCUAACUACGUGCCAGCAGCCGCGGUAACACGUAGGGACGAGCGUUGUCCGGAUUCAUCGGGCGAAAGCGCGCG
Molecule: ribosomal RNA, 538 nt
Filed under: uncultured bacterium
Lineage: Bacteria
Description: bacterial SSU rRNA
Rfam family: Bacterial small subunit ribosomal RNA
Source: RNAcentral